UUGUCAACAGUAACUUGACCAAGUGAUUCUUGAUCUCUUCCAGUCAGGAGUAUUACCUUAAAUCCAUUAUCUAUCAACUUGUUAAAUAGCUUUAAUACCGGAGGAAUUGCUGUGCACCAUCCUUUAACUGCCCAUGCCCUAAACGCAGGUGGAUCAUAUGGCUCACACCUAUAUGUAUAUAUUUCAGAUUUUACUAUAGUUAAAAAAAGGAUUUUUCUAUCAUGUGCAAAUUUGCACAUGAUAAGAAAUUUAAAGUAGUAACUUUGACUUGAAACUUGUGCAUUUAUAUUAAAUAUGUAAAUUUUUAGUAAUUAAUUGUUAGUUUUCAAUGAAAAGUUACUACUUUUACUUUCCUUAACAUGUGCAAUAUUACACAUGUUAGACAAACCCAAAAAUUUCCUUAAAAAAAUAGGGUUAAAUAAGUUUUUGGUACUAUAAAUAUACUAUUUUUUUGUUUUUGGUCCUCUUAAAAAUUUUCUUUAAUUAAUGGUUUCUAAAUGCUUGACAUCAACAAAUUUGGUCCUCUUUGACGAAAAACAUUCAAAGGUCCAUGGUUGGACCUUUUUUGAAAGGGUGCAUAUUAUGGUGUGUGCGUAGUAAGAACAUAAUGAGAUUAUGAAAUGCUGACUUGGCGGGCUGAGUGACAUGCUGACUGUGCAUAUCUGAUUAUGUGGCGUGCUGACUGUAUAAUUAUUUUUUUUUUAUUUAUUUAAAAAUAUAUAUAAAAAUUAAAAAAAAUCAGAAUUUUUUUUAUUACGAAAAAUAUUUUCUGAAAUAUUAAUUUUUCGAAAAUUCCAAAAUUUAUAAUUUACGAAAAAUAUAUAUUUCAAAAUUUUUUAAAAUUAUUUUCGAAAAUGUUAAAAUAUAUAUUUCAAAAAAAAAAAUUCAAAAUUAUUUUCGAAAAUUUGGAAUAUAUUUUUUGAAGUUUAAAACAUAUUUUUUUUCGAAAAAUAAGUUUUUAAAAUUUUCUCAACAAAAAAAAAAUCUGGAUACAAAUUAAUUUAAAAAUUUAGGAAAAUUUAGAUUUUUAUUAUGAUGUGUUACAGAUUUGAGAAUAUUUUUUAAUAUUUAAAAAUUGAGGAUAAAAAAAUCUGGAAAUUUUUUUAAUAUUUAAAUUUAAUCUUAUCUAUUUGUUACAUGUGUUAUUUGUAUUGAAAAUUGUGGGCAUUUUUGAAAAGAAACAGCCAACCCAAAAGCUAAAAGGGGUUGUUUUCUUUAUAUAUAUUUCCAAAAAUAUUAUAUAUAAAAAAUUCAUACACUUACUAUAUUUUGAAACUUUCGAAAAAUUAAAAAAAAAGUCCAAAUUAAAUUAAAAUUUUAAAAAUAUUCGAGAAAAAUAAUAUAAGCUAAUUUUUGAAUGUUUUGGUAAAAAAAUUAAUAUUUUUAUUUUUUGAAAAAAAAUCCAAUUUUUUUUUUCUUCGUUUUUUAAAAAAAUUGUUUUUUUCUUUCUUGAUUUUAAAUUUUUGAAAAUGAAUUUUCAGUUUUUUUUAUCUUUUUAAAAAUAAUUUAUUAAACCAUUACACACAUGUUAAAUUUAAAAUAAAUAAAAAAUUAAAAUAAUUACACAGUGGCGUGCCACAUCAGCGUCUGAAUGGGGUCAAAGGUGUUUUGUGGAGAAUCUUCAUAUUACAAGGGUGUUUUGUGGAGAAUCUUUAUAUUAUAGGGUUGGAAUCUAAACUUUUUUUUUUACAGGGGGGAAAACCGGAACUCGCCCAAAUUACAGAGGGGGUAAAGACAUAUUAACCCAAAUUAAAAACACAAAUCCAAAACUUAAACUUACAAAACAGAAAAUAAAAAGGAAUGGAUGGAUGGACCUAUGGUCCUUCAAACAUGAAAUUCCAUAAAAUAAAAUAAAAACCUAAUAAGAUAAAAUGGUGGUUUUGUUAGAGGAGGAGGAGGAGGUGGUGGUGGCGGCGGCGGCGGUGAAGAGCGGCGGUGAUUAUGCGGCAGCGGCAACGGCGGGAUCAUUGUUGGGGCAGAAAAAUUUCUGGCGAAUGGAAUUUCCGAUUGAAGCUAGUUGGAGGAGAACAUCGUUGUAUCUAAAGCCCAGGACCAAGAUAAUAGGGAUUGACCAGGUCCACCCAACAAUUUUUGCGAAAUCAUGGUUCAAAAGUUUGACGAUGAAUCCCGAAAUCAAAGCAUUAAGCACCAUAAUAAUGAGCAUUUGGAGAACACGCUUGUUGUUUGGCCUGUCCAGAGAGGCAAAGAGAGUGAAGAAAAGAAAGGUCACGUGAAUGACUGCAACAACUGAUAUCACAGUGUGUUUAACACUUGUGUGCUCGUUCAGGUAUCGCAAAACAUCUUUGUCAAGUUGAGAACAGAGUAGAGCACCAAAUGCCAUAACAACUCUCACACAGAUAGAUUCAAAGAUCUGAAAACGCUCCCUCAUCUCAACAUGAGGGUCUUCAAGAGUCUGGACAACAGCCAUUGAAAUUUGAAAGUUUCUUCCGACUCCGGCUUCCAUUGGUUUGUGUUUGUGUUUGUGUUCUCUGUCUGAUUGAAAUAAUUUCGAAUUUUUUGUUUUGUGAAUGCAAGCUGAGUCUUGGUAGUAGUUUUAUAGAGGGUAAUAGUACGCUGCUUCAUUGCUAUUGUUGUUACGGGAAAAGGUGGGAUGGUGGUGGUGGAGUGAAUUUGAUUUUUUUUUGUUUUUGAGGAAAAGAUAGUACUGCUUUAUAUGAUGGUUUAUCUAGCCUUGCCGAAUUUCAUUUUUUGACAAAAGGAUAAGGAUGGAAUGAUGAUUGGUUAAAAGUACACUGUGUCAUGUUUGCAUUUUUCAAGGGUUGGUGAAAUUAUUUUGUCCCAAAGAUAUCAUAUAAUUACCUAGGUAGGAAAUGGAUGGAUGGACCUAUGGUCCUUGAAACAUGAAAUUACAUAAAAUAAAAUAAAAAAACCUAAUAAGAUAAAAUGGUGGUUUUGUUAGAGGAGGAGGAGGAGGUGGUGGUGGCGGCUGUAACACCCCGUUUUCCCAACAUAAAAAUUUCAUACAAAAAUCAGAGUUUUCAACAUAAACGGAAUGUCACACUUCUUUUCAAAAAACGUAAAUGGAAUAAAUAACUAUUUAUCCUUCAUAAAUCAAUAACAUAAUAUUUAAUACUUCGCAGCGGAAUUUAUUCAACAUCUAGAAUAGUCUUUGACACGAAGGCCUCAUUAAAAUAUCUCAUAAAAAUCCAAUUAACAACUUAAUCUUGUAAAUUCAUAAACAAUACGUAAGGAAUAGAAAAACAUGCAACAAAAAUUCUCAUCCCUUUACGUAUCAGAGCACCUAAAGACACACGCGAGAGAAACCUCACACAACCGCAAGUAUUCUUGGUUACCUGCUAGUUAUCCAUUGUGGGCAACAUUUAAAUAGAAGGGGUGAGAUUUCACAAAACAAUAAUAUUAAACAUAUAAUUCAAUAAAUUAUAUUUAACAACAUGAAAACAUCAUAAUAUUCAUCAUAGAUAAUAAUAUAUCAUAUAUCACAUCAUUAAUAGUUCAAAUAAAGAAUCACAGCAUAAACAACUUGACAACUUAACACUUUUGACUCGACAAAUGCGACUCCAACUCGACUAUGUAACUUAGACCUCUUAUAUGCAUGUGGUACCAAUACAGAGCAUCAAGCCCCCAUCGCUAUUUGAGUAUUAAUNAACAUUUACUUAUAUUUGCUGAAAUAAAUUAACAAUUGUCCCAACAUACAUUAAAGAAGUUAGGGAACAAAAUACAUAGGAUUAGGGAGCUUGAAUGUACGGUUUCCGGAAGAGUUUCCUUGGAGAUCACUCCAUUGGUCCCCUACAUUUCCCCAUAUUUUGUAACCUUCAUCCUCUAAUUGCUUCCUUAUAUUGGAUUUAUACAUUACUGCACUUUGCCCUUUAUAUGCUGCUGUCCUGUAAAUUAAUUAUAUGAUCCAGGACUAAUUAAUCAACUUUUUUAAAAUGUGACAAUUAUAAUCAUACAAUAUACCAACAAUGAAAUAAUUCAAAUGGUAAGAAGUAUGUGCUCUUAAACAAUUGAUCAGAAGUUCGACCUCUAACUCUUAAAUAUGUCUCUUAUAGAAAUUAAUCAUCAUUAAACGGCGAUGAAAACUUCAUAAAGAAAAUAUUAAUGACAUGUAUCCAUGGGUCUUACCUCAUAAUGAGUCUUUCGUAUGCAAUGAAUCCUUGAUUGUGCAAAUUGUCAACAGUAACUUGACCAAGUGAUUCUUGAUCUCUUCCAGUCAGGAGUAUUACCUUAAAUCCAUUAUCUAUCAACUUGUUAAAUAGCUUUAAUACCGGAGGAAUUGCUGUGCACCAUCCUUUAACUGCCCAUGCCCUAAACGCAGGUGGAUCAUAUGGCUCACACCUAUAUGUAUAUAUUUCAGAUUUUACUAUAGUUAAAAAAAGGAUUUUUCUAUCAUGUGCAAAUUUGCACAUGAUAAGAAAUUUAAAG
This 4404-nucleotide long non-coding RNA is filed under the name Medicago truncatula (barrel medic). RNAcentral's name for it is "long non-coding RNA (MTRU_LNC005879)". The record is from RNAcentral. Lineage: Eukaryota; Viridiplantae; Streptophyta; Magnoliopsida; Fabales; Fabaceae.